This 538-nucleotide ribosomal RNA is filed under the name Lepidophthalmus jamaicensis. RNAcentral describes it as "partial 16S ribosomal RNA". It matches the Rfam family "Bacterial large subunit ribosomal RNA", at positions 1819 to 2625 of the family's 2925-position model. The record is from RNAcentral. Lineage: Eukaryota; Metazoa; Arthropoda; Malacostraca; Decapoda; Callianassidae.
GUCUGCUUGGUAUAAAAAGCAGUCUGACCUGCCCACUGAUAUUUUUUAAAGGCCGCGGUACUCUGACCGUGCGAAGGUAGCAUAAUAAUUAGUCUUUUAAUUGAAGACUGGAAUGAACGGUCGGACAAAAAGUAAGCUGUCUCAGUUUUAAAAAUUGAAAUUAACUUUUAAGUGAAAAGGCUUAAAUACUCUCAAAGGACGAUAAGACCCUAUAAAACUUUAUACCUCUGCCAAUAAACUCCUAUUUAUGUGUUUAAAGUAAUUUAUUGGCCUGUGUAUUACGUUGGGGAGACGAGAGUAAAACAAAUAACUGCUUUCUAUUUUAAACAACUAUAUUUGAUACGACAUGACCCUUUCUAAAGAUCCAAAGAUAAAGUUACUUUAGGGAUAACAGCGUUAUUUUUUUCGAGAGUUCUUAUCGACAAAAAAGUUUGCGACCUCGAUGUUGAAUUAAAACAACCUUAUAGUGCAGCAAUUAUAAAGGUAGGUCUGUUCGACCUUUAAAAUUUUACAUGAUUUGAGUUCAAACCGGCGUGAG